GUUGUUUGCAGUAUUUUAAUACAGCAUUAAAUUGCUAUAACACUAAAGACAAGCCAAUACUAUCCAGCAAAUAAGGCACAUGUCGGAAUGCCAUUUUAUGGACAAUCCACAGCAGAAUCUUGACAGUCUUUUCCACAACCCUUUUAAUCAGUUGUCACUUUGGUGGCUGAGAUAAGCCUGUCUUCUCCGAGGCCUGUGUCCAUAGAAAAGUUAUUAUUAUUAUUAUUAUUUUUAAAGCUGUACAUGUUAAUGACCAGUUAAAGAAGAGAAGAAUUAUACAACUGAAACUGAGAAGUCAGUGAGUACAGCUAGUUUUUUUUUUAAAAAAGUAAUUAAACUAAUUGAAAUUGGCAGACAUUAAUAUAAUAACAACAUUAGUUUUAUAUAUUGUAGAUUGCUGCUCUAAAUAACUUUUGUAAGAGAAAUAAGAGCUCAGUAUAGGACUGGGCUCAUUUUAAACAGGGCUUAAAACAAACAAACAAUCUUAAUAUAACGGAACUAUGGGAAACCAUAAAGAAUAAGAUGCAUAUAAUAUACAUCAUUCUAACAUGCAUAUUGUAUCAUGUUAUGCAUUCUAAAUAAAAAUAAACACAAAAUGCUUAUAUCACUGCAACCCUUCCUUGGUUACAGCCAAUGACUGAGUGCAUUGCUUUAAUGCCAGUCCUACUGCUUUCCAGACCUCCGUGUGAUGUUUUUCCAACAGCUUUCGCAUCAUUUGGAGGCAAAGCUUCCCUUACCUACCUCCAAGACGCAGUGUAAAAAAUAAACACUCCUAACCAUCUUACAGAAUUUCUGAAAAGCAAAGAGCAACUCUUUGGAUCCUUUCACACAUUGCACAACAAGAAACCCAGAGUUCUCACUGAGAGAGCGCAUGUGAUCGGUUGUCUCACAAACAGAUCUGGUUCAUGUAUGUGCUUCUACUUUCUCAAAUCUGACCUUCGGGCAUGGAGAUGGAGAUUUUUUUUUUUAAAGAUCCUAGGUGUACAUUUAAGUGGAAUGUGUGAAGACGUCCGUAGAGCAUUUGCGCUUCAGUUCUUAUCUUUGCACUAGAGUCUCUGCUGUUUCUUCUUGAAAAUGCGCAGAUACAGCAUUCAUUAGGCCCAGCCUAAGUGCAUGUCUCAGGACUAGGCUGUUAGUGUAUCUUUCUCAAAGUCAUAAAGUGUAAAAGUAACUUCAAUACCUGAUUCUUACAAAAUCAGUCAUAGCUUUUCUAAAAAGGCAAUACUUUCCAAAAUACACAUAUAAAUAAAUUGAAUACGCAUAUUAAUAUAAGUUCUAAACACCCGAAUAAUAUAUUGGUUACUUAAUACUGAUAUUUUCAUCCAAAUAAAAGCAAUGAGAAGAACAAUAUGGCUUAAAGAAUUGCGAGGGUUCAUUUUCUUGUCAGAAUUAUGUACCAACUUUCAUAUAAUAUUCUAUGUAGACAAUAUUUCCUUCUUAAUGUAGUUCUGUUGCAUACUUUAUACAGACAAAGGCAUUGUAAAAAAAAGAAGAAGAAAGAAAAGAAAAAAGCAAAUUCCUUCCAUAAAUAUUUUCUUGAGGAUACACCCUUAAUUCUGUAUAAUACUUAAGAAAACUCUUAGCUCUGUUAGUAUCAUAGUAGAAAACUAAGACCCUUUCUGAAAGCUUCAGAGUUGUAAAAACACUUUAAAAAACCUCAAGCAAAACUAACAAUAGUAUUUUUAAAAGGCCCUCAAAUAUAUACAAAAAGGUUACUGCAAAGAGUUUUCCAAUAACAAUUCAGUAUUACAAAGACAUAUUUGUAACCAUUCAAAAAUUUUAAACAUCUACAAAGUUUUCCAAAAUACACACACAGUAUUAAAAAAAAAAAAAAAUGGAGAGGAACUCUAUGUCAAGUAUAACUCAAGAUAAAUACCCUUCCGCAAGUAAAACUGUAAAAUAUUUCAUAACAGGGAGAGUAAACAUUAAUAUCAAUUGACUAUAUUUAUUAACUGCACACGAUUGUCCCUUUGAUACUCACCCUAAGAAAACACAAGCCUUCAUUUGUUUAGUUACCAUGUUGGUCAGGCUCACAGAGUGCUACAAUCAUGUAGGAAUAUUUCUAGAGGCAGUGGUUUUUGCAGACACGAAAGCGAGAGCACUGAGAUUUUGGCUAGGUAUAAAGUCAUGCCUUAAAGGAAGAUGCAGCACGAAACAUUCCUUUAAGGCUGAAUUAGAAACUAUUUGUCUGUUGGACUGCGUUGUAACAAGGCUUGUAGAGAGAGGCAUUCAACAGAAGGCGUGCAUGACAUCACUUGCCCCACCGCAGACCCCCCCACCCACUUCCACAUGGGUCAUUUGCAGCCCUGAAUGAAGAUCUCCACACAUUGUGCACAGUCCAGCCUAAAUGCGAUCCUUUUAGGGACAAUGAUCUUAACAGGUAGUCAAAAUCAUGUUAUACAGAAUUGGCUUGUUCCAUCAAGCUCUGUACUGCUAUUACUUCUUGCCGUCAGCGGAUCUCAGAAUUCUUUUCUCGGCUUUCUUUAAAGUCAGGGUAUUUCCUAGAAUCUCAUACAAGCAAACCAUACAUUCGGAGUCCUGUUCUGUCUGCCGCUGACCUUAAUGAAAUGCCAAAGUCGUUUCCUGAAGAGAUUCUUUAGCGUGAUCUAUUGGGCCUACCUGAAGCAGCUCGGGCUGGGCUUUCCAUCCAGGUAAUGCAAUGAACUUCAUCAAGGUGGAGAAAUGCCAUCGUUUACCACAACGCGGCCCUCGAUUGGCACACAUGCAGACAUCUCUUCCAACCCUUCCACUUACUAACUGGAAUCCUCUCCAAGCUAUAAGAAUAGCCAGAGGGGGCCUCAGAAAUGAAGGGGAGCAACAUGGCUGCUUUGCCCCAUUCUUAGAAGCAGGAAAACCACACUGGUUGGCAAAAUUGGUGGAAGGUUGUGCUUCACUCAAGCUGUUGUGAAAGCAGCCUGCUGCUUUCAAGAUUUGCACAGCACCUGAAAGCCCCUUUCAGCUGUCACAAGUUAAUUGAAGUGGAACUUCCAUGUAAAUGGAAUUAGGCUGAAAAAGUUUCAAUGUCAAUGGGAAUUCCCAGGAAAAGUAGUGGGUGCCCUAUGUUUUAAACUUAUUGUCUUACAUGUAUCUCUGAGGUGGGGAAUGAUAUACUCACAACGUGUGUGAUAAUGGCAUUCUUGAAGACAAAUAAAUGUCACUUUGGCACUAAUAACCUUAUGAGAAUUGCCAGAGAUCCAUGGAUUUCUAAUUCAAGCCAGUAGAUGGGUUUUGGUGGAUUAUGUAUAACUUCCAAGUCUAUCUCACAACUUUCCAGGAGGAACUUUCUUACAGCAGCCUUUUGCACCUCCUUGAAAGUCCAGGAAUAUGCCCCAGAUGGAAAUCAAAAUUAGGAAGCCUUUCUGUGCAUAGCUGAAGCUGUGGAGUCCUUGGGCUGCACAUAUUCACCUCUAUUGAUAGCUGAAAUUAUACUAUCCAUGGUACUCCUGCAAUAAGAAUAACUGCCUCCUAUUUAAAAUGAUUUAUGCUGAACUGGUCUUCAUCUUUAACAUCAGUUGAAACAAAUAAUCACAUCUACAUUUUGUUCUCCAAGUAUAUCUUUGGGGAAUUUUGGGUAAGUAGGUAUGACAACAGCUAGAAAGAUUAUGGCUAAUAUUUUAUAAGUGCUCAAACAACUACAGUAACAACGACAACAACAACAACAAAACCUGUAGCUGGCUUAAUAUAAGGUUGUAUUGUAAUGCAUUUCUCCUAUUAUUCAACCCUUACCCCUACUGGAAAAGAAAAUCGAACUUUAAAUGCUAAAGUUCAAGUUUUCAAAAGCCAUCACUCAAUUCUUCCUGCUCUAGAUAAUGACACAAUGCAAGAACGGGUAAGGGUUCUAAUUAUCCAGAGAUUCUCUGGUUUAUAUAUUUACUUAAAACAUGCUUUACUACCAUUUUCUUGACUCCAAUUGAGUCUUUAAUCAUGUAAACAAUGCAGAGGAAAACUUUCGGCGUUGUUAUUUCAGAGGAGUUGCUAUGUAAACAAGAACUGAUGUAGAAAUGGUCUAAUCGCUUGCUUUUGGAUAAUUACAGUGGGUUCAUCUACACUUUCUCAUUUUUACAGUAAACCCACCGACAAUAAUGGGACUUAAAGUAGUAGUUUACAUACAACUGUUGAAUCCAAUAAAAUGAUGACCAAACGCUUAUAAAUUUUAUCCAGCUAUAUCAAGGAAAGUUACUUGAGGCUAUAAAUUAAUAAAGUUCAUAAUAUCCACAUAAGAGAUGCACUUAGUUAAUAUGACAUCGUUGUCAUUGAAGCCUAAACAGAUUUUGCAACUUUUCUAAAUAAGAAAGCCACUCCAUUACAAGAUGCUGUAACCUAGCCAACUAUUUGUAUCACAAGACAGAUUUUCCACUGAUUCCUAAAAGCAAAAGUUGCUCACAACUGAUUCUAAGCCUUAUCUGUUCCAUGAACAUUGGGAAAAUAAUUCUUGGUGUUGGCAACAUUUGCCAAGAAUGUCUCUCCGAAUGUGUUGGACCACUAUUCCCAUCAUGUCCAAACCAUUGGUGUAAUGCUGGAUUGGAGGGAAGCUGUAGCCUCAUAUCUCUGGAAAGCAUUUGGAGAAAGCUGGAACAGGAUAUCUAUGCACACUGCUCCUUAAAGCUCUAUAUGCAGAAAGGUAUGGGUUGAAUUGGUACUUUAUAGGAAGAGACCAAGAGUAGCCAGACAGGGGUAGCUAGUUCCGUCAAAUAUCUCCCUGCCUUGUAGGCAUUUACCCUGCAACUCUUGUGGUUUAGCAAGAUAAGACAGGCCCCUGCUCUCUCAGGUCCUAGAUGUGAAAAACCUAACAGCAUCAUGAAACUCUUCCUGAUGCAAAGAAUCUCUGCUCACUUUUAAUCUGCAGCGCAGAGCAUGGUUUCACUCUUCUUGAUAAUCUGGCAAUGGCCUGAGAUGAUUUAAUACAAAAUAACUCCACUUUCCAAGAUUGCCCUGAUCUGAAUUCCCAAUCCACCUCUAAUUCCCUAUGGAAACAGGUGGUACCUAGAACAUUUCAACCUCUACUUUAACAACAUUUAAAAUGAACAUAAUUUAAAAAAAGAAGCUCAACUAUUAUUUAGGACAGUUCCAGUAAUAGAUUUGCUUUGUCAUAAAGCUUCAAAAUUCUCUUAAUAGAAUUGCUUAAGUAUGUUUGAAAUAUAGAGAAGACCUACCUAAGGAUAAUUGUCUUUAUAUACUCAUAGAAGCCCUAUAGUUAUCUAGACUAGCAGUAAUUAUUUCACUGAAAAUGAGUACAUCUAGACAGAACAGUCGCUUUCUGAAGAUGUCAUGACAUCUAAAAUUAAUAAAUAAGACUGAUAGAUUUUUCAGUCAAGAUGCUGAGAUUAAUUCCCCCAUCAUUCACAGGAAAUGUAUUUCUACCCCUCCUAACUAGGUCUAAGGAUUUUGAUUAGCAAAUCUUCCUGCAUUGAUGGAAGAGCAGCUUUGCAGUGGGAAGAAGCAUGGUUGAGGUGCCUCCUUCUAAGACAGGUGUGGAACCACACCUAAACUUUGAAUGGCAACUGAGCACUGCAUUUCUAAAAGCAAUGGCUAAGCCAAGGACCAGAACUAAAUCUGAUUUGAUUUACAUUUACUUAGAAUUAAAGACAGUUAAAAAGAUUACUUUUCCAGUUGUGCAUUUAGUAGCUUCCUUAUUAAAAAUUACCAUUAGUUUAACUUCCAUAGGUCCCUGGAAGCCACACUCUGACUUUCAGAGGUCUUUCAGUUGCCACGCAAAACUGGGGAAGUUGGAGUGGAUACCUCUCUUCUAUGGUGUUAUAGGGCAGCUUAUCUGGUAAAUGAAAUUUUGGUCUAUCAUAUGGCAUAAUACAUUAUGUGCCAGUAAGUGAAUUCCUACCAUCUUUUUCUGGUGUUCUAAACUCAAGGUUAAUAGAAAUUAUAGGCUCCCAUUGGGAGACCACCAAAACGUCUUGGCCAUAAUAACAGUCCAUUAGUUGAGUGUACCAAUUGGCCACUUCCACUAGAUUGGGUCUGAUCCCGUGGAGAUUCUCCAUGUAGUAAACCUGGGCCAAAGGAAGUAUGUAAACAAACUCCUAAAAUAACUUUCUGGGGUUCUAAACUCAAGGCCAAAUCUUGGUCCUAGAGGCACUCCAUCAGGUCAUUUCUAUUAGGUGACCUUGAUCAUACAGUGAAUCCCCAAUCAGUGCUGCAAAAUUCAGAGCAUCCAACACUCUUGCUGGCCUGAAAAGUCUCUGAAUUGUGAGGUGGUACCCUUUAAGGCUAUCCAUAAUUAGAUUGGCUAUAGACAUCUAGAAGUAAUGACACCAUGCAAAACUGAAAUAAAUAGCAAUCUGUAGAUGAACUGUUUUGCUCUGAUGCCACACAAUACAGCUCCAAACUGUUUUGCUCUGAUGCCACAUGAUACAGAUGUUCUUGCCUUCUAUUACCACUGUCUGUAAGGCCACAUGUGGCUCAAGGCAAAGUGAGAUACAGUUCAAGAACAAAGAACAGAGAGGAUUCGGUUUAGGGCCUUCUGCAGAGAAACUCCUCAUAUCUGUUUUUCAGAAUUCUAGAGAUGUUGAAUGGAUGAGUAUCACAUCUCUUCCAGCUCUCUUCCUCUGUAAUGGCAUAGGUUAUGAGAGAGCGAGAGUGAAGGUAUCUGGAGGGGUGAUUAAAAAAGAUACCCACACACAUGCAAUCGAAGCCCUCCCUGGCCCCACCUGUCAAAAAGGGCUAGGCUUCAAUUGUGAAGGUGCCAUUUUGCCUUUUUUCAACCUUCCCUCUGCAGAUGCCCAUGUGUGUAUGUGAAAGAAAGAGAUAGCCAGCAGGAUUUCCCAGCCCAGUGUCCUCUAAACGUGUCAAACGUUACUUUCCUUCACCCCAGUUGGCUGAGGAUUACGGUGUUGCAGUCCAACCCAUUGAGAGAACACCCAUUUGGGAAAGAAUGGCAUGAAAGCAAGGUGAAACUCUGGCCUGUCGCACCACUAAUUGUUGAAGGAGGAAAGGGCCAAACUCCACCAGAGGUUAUGUGGUUGGGGAUGACGAAGGUAGAGAAACAGGCACAGUGGAGAGAGGGAGCUGAAUUAGGAUAGUCUUGUCUGUUGAGAACAAGGUAACAUUUCUCUUGUUGGCUAGAUACGCAGCCUGAGGAUAGGAGUUUUAGCCACCAUUGCAUAGCUAAAGAAAAAUGUAAGGGUAACUGAGAUGCCAUGGGAAGUGGGGGUAAACAACAACAGCCUGCAAAAAUUAGUGUAUUUAUGCAAGCUUGUUCUGAAAUAGAUCUCCUGGAUUUCGGUGGGACAUCCAUCUACAUAAAUGUGCUUAAAGUUGCUGCACACGAAAGACAAAUUCCUCUUUCGCUCUACGUGUUCUACCAUCGUUACAUUUCCAUGCAAACCACUCGUCAGACAAUUAUUCACUUGUUCUUUUAAGCCCUCAGAUUCAAAAAAACUGAAGCUCACCAAAAGCCUCUCUUCAGUGGCCCUGGAAGACUCUUGGAAAGCAAGCAAGCUAGUAGAUCUUACCGACCAUCCCCAUAGUCAAGAAAAACGAAUAUUUGCAUCACAUCCUUAAUUCUUUCCUAGAGGAGGCCUUAUAGCUUUAGUGAAUUCUAGUUGGCAGCAUAGCUAAAACACAUUUUGAGUAAUGCCUGCCAACCCCCACCCCCCUUAACGUCAUCCAACCAGAUCCUCCUGACAUGACGGGUCUCUCGGGACAAACAACACUAGUUCACUUGGGGUAGAAUACUGGAAUUGUGUAAACAAUCAGCGGAAACCACCAUAGUGAUUCCAUCAUGAAUAUGGCGGGUAUAGUCCAGCAAGA
Non-coding RNA from Python bivittatus (Burmese python), 7761 nucleotides. The record is from RefSeq and is a predicted model, not a curated record. Lineage: Eukaryota; Metazoa; Chordata; Lepidosauria; Squamata; Pythonidae.